AUGGUUUCGGUGUCGCUCCGGUCCGAUCCAGUUCCACGCCGGCAGCCAACGGACCGGUGUGAACAGGGGGAAAAUUCUAGUAUUCCGAUUCCCGGUAACACCGGUUUCGGUGAUACAAAUCGAUAAGAAAGUUUCGGUACCGAUUUUGAUUCUUUUCAAACCAAUCCGGCGGUACCCGUUCUGGUCCGUUGUCAGUCUUACGAUGAGAGAACAUAGUGACUAGUCAUUGUGAAAAUUGAGGG
Molecule: long non-coding RNA, 242 nt
Filed under: Capsicum annuum
Lineage: Eukaryota; Viridiplantae; Streptophyta; Magnoliopsida; Solanales; Solanaceae
Description: long non-coding RNA (CANN_LNC000700)
Source: RNAcentral